This 321-nucleotide ribosomal RNA is filed under the name Triticum aestivum (bread wheat). RNAcentral describes it as "partial small subunit ribosomal RNA". Lineage: Eukaryota; Viridiplantae; Streptophyta; Magnoliopsida; Poales; Poaceae. The record is from RNAcentral.
AUGUUCCUUGAAGUCUUGACUGGAAAGAGACCCAAGGAUGACUUUUUUGUUGGAGAUCGUAGUCUCAGGCGGUGGGUGCUGGAGGCGUUUCCUAGGGAGGUUGUCCAUGUCGUGGAUGACCAGCUAAUACAUGACUCUUCUUCCACUGUCAGCUUGGAAGGCUUUCUUGUGCCGAUGUUUGAGCUGGGCCUACUCUGCUCCAGCGACUCGCUUGACCAGAGAAUAACCAUGAGCAAUGUAGUCGUGAGAUUGAAGAAGAUCAAAGUGGAGUACACCAAAGCCAUAGGAGCAGCAGCAGCAGAACGGAGUGCUGCCCCAUGA